RNAcentral lists this ribosomal RNA (253 nucleotides) under uncultured bacterium. RNAcentral's name for it is "partial 16S ribosomal RNA". It matches the Rfam family "Bacterial small subunit ribosomal RNA", at positions 524 to 776 of the family's 1533-position model. The record is from RNAcentral.
GACAGAGGGUGCAAACGUUGUUCGGAAUUACUGGGCGUAAAGCGUGUGUAGGCGGUUCACUAAGUCGGAUGUGAAAGCCCUGGGCUCAACCCAGGAAGUGCACUCGAAACUGGCGAGCUAGAGUACUGGAGAGGUUGGUGGAAUUCUCGGUGUAGAGGUGAAAUUCGUAGAUAUCGGGAGGAACACCGGUGGCGAAGGCGGCGACCUGGGUCGAUACUGACGCUGAGGUGCGAAAGCGUGGGGAGCGAACAGG